Molecule: ribosomal RNA, 484 nt
Filed under: uncultured bacterium
Lineage: Bacteria
Description: partial 16S ribosomal RNA
Rfam family: Bacterial small subunit ribosomal RNA
Source: RNAcentral
AUUGAACGCUGGCGGCAUGCUUUACACAUGCAAGUCGAACGGCAGCGCGGGCUUCGGCCUGGCGGCGAGUGGCGAACGGGUGAGUAAUGCAUCGGAACGUGCCCAGUAGUGGGGGAUAGCGCGGCGAAAGCCGGAUUAAUACCGCAUACGACCUGAGGGUGAAAGCGGGGGACCGAAAGACCUCGCGCUAUUAGAGCGGCCGAUGUCGGAUUAGCUAGUUGGUGGGGUAAAGGCUUACCAAGGCGACGAUCCGUAGCUGGUCUGAGAGGACGACCAGCCACACUGGAACUGAGACACGGCCCAGACUCCUACGGGAGGCAGCAGUGGGGAAUUUUGGACAAUGGGGGCAAGCCUGAUCCAGCCAUGCCGCGUGCGGGAAGAAGGCCUUCGGGUUGUAAACCGCUUUUGUUCGGGAAGAAAGCCACUGGGUUAAUACCCCGGUGGGAUGACGUUACCGGAAGAAUAAGCACCGGCUAACUACGUG